Molecule: ribosomal RNA, 850 nt
Filed under: uncultured archaeon
Lineage: Archaea
Description: bacterial SSU rRNA
Rfam family: Archaeal small subunit ribosomal RNA
Source: RNAcentral
CUGACUGCUAUCGGAUUGCUACUAAGCCAUGCGAGUCAUUGUACCACUACAAGGCGGACGGCUCANUAACACGUAGUCAACCUAACUCGAGGAUGUGGAUAACCUCGGGAAACUGACGAUAAACCACGAUAGAUCAUAGUGCCUGGAAUGGCUUAUGGCACAAACAGUUUACUGCCAUGGGAUGGGACUGCGGCCUAUCAGCUUGUUGGUGAGGUAAUGGCCCACCAAGGCGAUUACAGGUACGGGCUCUGACAGGAGUACCCCGGAUAUGGGUACUGACACACGGACCCACGCCCUAUGGGGCGCAUCAAGCGAGAAACCUUAUCAAUGUGCGAAAGCACGACUGGGUCAGUCCGAGUGAUUCCUGAUAAAGGAGUCUUUUGCCUGUCCUAAAAGCACAGGUGAAUAAGGGGUGGGCAAGUCUGGUGUCAGCCGCCGCGAUAAUACCAGCACCUCUAGUGGUCAGGACGUUUAUUGGGCCUAAAGCAUCCUUAGCCGGCUCUGCAAGUCUUCGGUUAAAUCCACCUGCUCAACAGAUGGGCCGCUGGAGAUACUACAGAGCUAGGGAGUGGGAGAGGCAGACGGUAUUCAGUGGGUAGGGGUAAAAUCCUCUGAUCCAUUGAGGACCACCAGUGGCGAAGGCGGUCUGCCAGAACACGUUCGACGGUGAGGGAUGAAAGCUGGGGGAGCAAACCGGAUUAGAUACCCGGGUUAGUCCCAUCUGAAAACGAUGCAAACUCCGUGAUGCAUUGGCUUAUGGCCAAUGCAGUGCCCACGGGAACCUGUUAAGUUUGCCGCCUGGGAAGUACGGACGCAAGUCUGACACUUAAAGGAAUUGGCGGCGGAGCAC